RNAcentral lists this ribosomal RNA (3046 nucleotides) under Candidatus Dojkabacteria bacterium. RNAcentral describes it as "23S ribosomal RNA". It matches the Rfam family "Bacterial large subunit ribosomal RNA". The record is from RNAcentral.
GAUAAAGCGACUCAAGGGUAUAUGGUGGAUGCCUUGGUUGAAAAUGUCGAUGAAGGACGUUGUAGCCUGCGAUAAACUCCGGGUAGCUGGCAAACAAGCUAUGAUCCGGAGGUUUCCGAAUGGGAGAACCCAUCCAGAGUAAUGUCUGGAUACUCUAUACCGAAUUCAUAAGUAUAGUAGAGAUAAGCCAGUGAAUUGAAACAUCUCAGUAACUGGAAGAAAAAAUACCGAACGUAUUCCCUCAGUAGUGGCGAGCGAAAGGGGAAGAGCCCAAACUUAACAGGUAGGUCGAUUUUGAACCGGAAAGCUUCGGCUGGAAGGUUUGAUUGAGACGCCAGUGUAAUGGUGGUUGCAGUUAAGUGUUGUAGGACUUAGAGUGGAAUGUUUACGCAUAUUCCGAAUAAGUUACAAAUCCUAUUUUUAGUGGAAUAAGGUUGGAAAGCCAAACCGUAGAGGGUAAUAGUCCCGUACACGAAAAGAAUAGGACUUAUUUCUAAGUUCCUGAGUACUACGAUCAACGUUUGUUUUCGUAGGAAUCUACCCCAACCACGGGGUAAGGCUAAAUACAUUUUCAAACCGAUAGUGAACAAGUACCGUGAGGGAAAGGUGAAAAGUACCCCAGGAAGGGGAAUGAAAUAGUACCUGAAACCAUAUACCUACAAACAGUGGGAGCCUCAAUUUAUUGGGGUGACCGCGUGCCUAUUGAAGAAUGAGCCUGCGAGUUAUGUAGCUGAGCUUGGUUAAACUGUUCUGCAGUGAAGCCAUAGGGAAACCGAGUCUUAACGGGCGACUCUGUUCAGUUGCAUAGACCCGAAGCCGGGUGAUCUACCCAUGAGCAGGUUGAACCCUCGCGAAAGCGGGGGGAAGGACCGUACCGGUAAACAUUACAAAGUUUUCGGAUGACUUGUGGGUAGUGGUAACACGCCAAUCGAACCCGGCAAUAGCUGGUUCUCCUCGAAACAACUUUAGGGUUGGCCUUGGUUUCGAAACAUGUGGAGGUAGAGCACUGAUUGGGUUGAGGGCCCUUAUUGGGUACCUCGCUCUCUCAAACUACGAAUACCAUAUGUGAAUUGCCAGGAGUUAGACUGUGGGGGCUAAGCUUCACUAGUCAAAAGGGAAACAGCCCAGAUCAACGAUUAAGGUCCCUAAUCCUACGCUCAGUGGUAAAGGAUGUGGAAUUUCUAUGACAGCUAGGAGGUUUGCUUAGAAGCAGCAACCCUCUAAAGAGUGCGUAACAGCUCACUAGUCGAGAGAUUCUGCGCCGAUAAUUUAACGGGGCUCAAGCGUAGAACCGAAAUCAUGAAUCAUGUAAAGCGCAAGCUUUACGUGGAGGUAGAGGAGCAUUGUAUUCUGCUGUGAAGGUGCACCGGAAGGUAGUGCUGGAGCGUAUACAAGAGAGGAUGCAGGCAUGAGUAGCGCAAUCUCUGUGAAAAACAGGGACAUCGAAAGUUCAAGGUUUCCUCAGCCACGCUAGUCGUCUGAGGGUUAGUCGGUCCUAAGCUGAGGCCGAACGGCGUAAGCGAUGGACAACUGGUUAAUAUUCCAGUACUAUUUUAAAUUCGUUAUCAACUAAGGAGUAACGGAAUAUGCGAUUUUUUAGCCUCGAUAGGUCGGGGUACAAGUAGUUAGUCAGUUUUGUUUGGUAAAUCCGGCAAGACGAAAUCUCUCUUCGGAGAAAAUAGAUGAGCUACGACGUAAAGCUGAAGUCUUCGGACGGAUGUUAUUAAAAAUAGUAUGUUUCCAAGAAAAGCUUCUAUGUGAGAAUUUAGAGUAACCGUACCGCAAACCGACACUGGUGAACAGGUAGAAUAUACCAAGAUGGACGAAUUAUCCCUUGUUAAGGAAUUCGGCAAAUUACUACCGUAACUUCGGGAGAAGGUAGCCCCACUUUUGCUUGCAAAGGUGGGGGGCACAAAAAUGGCUCGAUCGACUGUUUAACAAAAACACAGGUUCUUGCUAACCCGCAAGGGGAUGUAUAAGAGCUGAUGCCUGCCCAAUGCUAGAAGAUCACAGAAGGAGGUUAUCCCUCGGGAGAAGCUUCUAACUUAAGUCCUAGUGAAUGGCGGCUGUAACUAUAACGGUCCUAAGGUAGCGAAGUUCCUCGGCGCUUAAUAGGCGUCCCGCAUGAAAGGCUUAACGAGUUGAGCACUGUCUUAACAAGGAGUUCGGCGAAAUUGAAAUGGCUGUGAAGAUGCGGCCUAUCCGUACCCGGACAAAAAGACCCCGGGAUCUUUACUAUAGCUUAGCAUUGAAAUUGAUGCUUUAUCGUAUAGUGUAGGAGGGAGACUUUGAAGUUCCAACGUCAGUUGGGAUGGAGUCACCAAUGUAACACCUCCCUAUAUUGUUUUAAUUUCUCACCUAUUUCCAUUAUCUGGAAAAGGGACAGUGUUUGGUGGGUAGUUUGACUGGGGCGGUUUCAUACUAAAGAGUAACGUAUGAUUGCAAAGGUCGGCUCAAGCUGGAUGGAAAUCAGCUGAAGAGCAUAAUGGUAUAAGCCGGCUUUACUGUGAGAAAGACAUUUCGAACAGUCACGAAAGUGGGCCAUAGUGACCCUUUGGCAACAAGUGGGAGUGCCAUUGUUUAAAGGAUAAAAGUUACCCCGGGGAUAACAGGCUAGUCUUGCCCAAGCGUCCAUAGCGACGGCAAGGUUCGGCACCUCGAUGUCGGCUCGUCGUAUCCUGGGGCUGUACAAGGUCCCAAGGGUUGGGCUGUUCGCCCAUUAAAACGGCACGUGAGCUGGGUUCAAACCGACGUGAGUCAGGUUGGUCUCUAUCCGGUACGGACGUUCGAAUUCUGAGAAGAUUGGCCCCUAGUACGAGAGGAUCGGGGCGAGGUAACCUCUGGUGCACCAGUUGUCCUACCAAGGGCAUAGCUGGGUAGCUAAGUUGCUAUUUGGAUAAGCGCUGAAAGCAUAUAAGCGCGAAGCCAGCUUCAAGAUUAGAAUUCGUCAUUAGACCCGCAGAAGAUUACUGCGUUGAUAGGCUCUAGGUGUAAGUUCCGUAAGGAAUUCAGCCAAGGAGUACUAAUUGGUCGAAAGCUUUAUCUU